Felis catus (domestic cat) is the source of this 85-nucleotide transfer RNA. It matches the Rfam family "tRNA". From Rfam's summary of the family: Transfer RNA (tRNA) molecules are approximately 80 nucleotides in length. Their secondary structure includes four short double-helical elements and three loops (D, anti-codon, and T loops). The record is from Rfam. Lineage: Eukaryota; Metazoa; Chordata; Mammalia; Carnivora; Felidae.
GCCUGGGUGGCUCAGUCGGUUGAGCGUCCGACUUCGGCUCGCGUCAUCAUCUCGCGGCUUGUGGGUUCGAGCCCCGCAUCGGGCU